Molecule: transfer RNA, 137 nt
Filed under: Pestalotiopsis fici W106-1
Lineage: Eukaryota; Fungi; Ascomycota; Sordariomycetes; Amphisphaeriales; Sporocadaceae
Rfam family: tRNA
About the family: Transfer RNA (tRNA) molecules are approximately 80 nucleotides in length.
Source: Rfam by way of RNAcentral
GGCAACGUGCCAGAGUGGUUAAUGGGUGAGACUCGAAAUCUCAUGGCUUCGGUCGCACAGGGUAAGCUAUUCGUGUCAAUGUCUGUUGUUUAUUCUUUAUACUUACGAAUUGCAUAGUUCGAAUCCUGUCGUUGUCG